RNAcentral lists this ribosomal RNA (253 nucleotides) under uncultured bacterium. RNAcentral's name for it is "partial 16S ribosomal RNA". It matches the Rfam family "Bacterial small subunit ribosomal RNA", at positions 524 to 776 of the family's 1533-position model. The record is from RNAcentral.
UACGUAGGGUGCAAGCGUUGUCCGGAAUUAUUGGGCGUAAAGAGCUCGUAGGCGGUCUGUCGCGUCGGCUGUGAAAACUCGGGGCUCAACCCCGAGCCUGCAGUCGAUACGGGCAGACUAGAGUGCAGUAGGGGAGACUGGAAUUCCUGGUGUAGCGGUGAAAUGCGCAGAUAUCAGGAGGAACACCGGUGGCGAAGGCGGGUCUCUGGGCUGUAACUGACGCUGAGGAGCGAAAGCGUGGGGAGCGAACAGG